UACGUAGGGACCUAGCGUUGUCCGGAAUCAUUGGGCGUAAAGCGCGCGUAGGCGGCCCGGUAAGUCCGUUGUAAAAGUCGAAGGCUCAACCUUCGAAAGCCGAUGGAUACUGCCGGGCUAGAGUACGGAAGAGGCGAGUAGAAUUCCUGGUGUAGCGGUGGAAUGCGCAGAUAUCAGGAGGAAUACCCAUAGCGAAGGCAGCUCGCUGGGACGUUACUGACGCUGAGGCGCGAAGGCCAGGGGAGCAAACGGG
This 253-nucleotide ribosomal RNA is filed under the name uncultured bacterium. Its description in RNAcentral is "partial 16S ribosomal RNA". It matches the Rfam family "Bacterial small subunit ribosomal RNA", at positions 524 to 776 of the family's 1533-position model. The record is from RNAcentral.